CAGCACCUCAAGUGGUCAGGAUGAUUAUUGGGCCUAAAGCAUCCGUAGCUUGCUUUGUAAGUUCUCGGUUAAAUCCAUACGCUUAACGUAUGGGCUGCCGGCAAUACUGCAAAGCUAGGGAGUGGGAGAGGUAGACGGUACUCGGUAGGAAGGGGUAAAAUCCUUUGAUCUAUUGAUGACCACCUGUGGCGAAGGCGGUCUACCAGAACACGUCCGACGGUGAGGGAUGAAAGCUGGGGGAGCAAACCGGAUUAGAGACCCGAGUAGUCC
This 270-nucleotide ribosomal RNA is filed under the name uncultured archaeon. Its description in RNAcentral is "partial 16S ribosomal RNA". It matches the Rfam family "Archaeal small subunit ribosomal RNA", at positions 477 to 747 of the family's 1478-position model. The record is from RNAcentral.